UACAGAGACUGCAAGCGUUAUUCGGAUUCACUGGGCGUAAAGGGUGCGCAGGCGGUUGGGUGUGUCAGAUGUGAAAUCCCGAGGCUCAACCUCGGAACUGCGUCUGAAACUACUUGACUAGAGUAUUGGAGAGGGUAACGGAAUUCACGGUGUAGCAGUGAAAUGCGUAGAUAUCGUGAGGAACACCAGAGGCGAAGGCGGUUACCUGGACAAUUACUGACGCUCAGGCACGAAAGCAUGGGGAGCAAAAGGG
Molecule: ribosomal RNA, 253 nt
Filed under: uncultured bacterium
Lineage: Bacteria
Description: partial 16S ribosomal RNA
Rfam family: Bacterial small subunit ribosomal RNA
Source: RNAcentral